RNAcentral lists this ribosomal RNA (569 nucleotides) under uncultured Desulfobulbaceae bacterium. RNAcentral's name for it is "bacterial SSU rRNA". It matches the Rfam family "Bacterial small subunit ribosomal RNA", at positions 8 to 553 of the family's 1533-position model. Lineage: Bacteria; Pseudomonadati; Thermodesulfobacteriota; Desulfobulbia; Desulfobulbales; Desulfobulbaceae. The record is from RNAcentral.
AGAGUUUGAUCCUGGUUCAGAACGAACGCUGGCGGCGUGCUUAACACAUGCAAGUCGAACGCGAAAGGGACUUCGGCCCCGAGUAGAGUGGCGCACGGGUGGGUAACGCGUAAGUAAUCUACCCCUGUAUCUGGAAUAACCCACCGAAAGGUGAGCUAAUACCGGAUACGUUUAUCUUGAUGCGAAUGAUGAUAAAGAAAGGUGGCCUCUUCAUGAAAGCUACCGUACAGGGACGAGCUUGCGUACCAUUAGCUGGUUGGUAGGGUAAUGGCCUACCAAGGCGACGAUGGUUAGCGGGUCUGAAAGGAUGAUCCGCCACACUGGAACUGAAACACGGACCAGACUCCUACGGGAGGCAGCAGUGAGGAAUAUUGCGCAAUGGGGGCAACCCUGACGCAGCGACGCCGCGUGGACGAUGAAGGCCCUUGGGUCGUAAAAUCCUGUCAGAUGGAAAGAAAUGUACAGGUGUUAAUAUCGCCUGUAUUUGACGGUACCAUCAAAGGAAGCACCGGCUAACUCCGUGCCAGCAGCCGCGGUAAUACGGAGGGUGCGAGCGUUGUUCGGAAUUA